RNAcentral lists this ribosomal RNA (1290 nucleotides) under Triticum aestivum (bread wheat). RNAcentral's name for it is "partial small subunit ribosomal RNA". The record is from RNAcentral. Lineage: Eukaryota; Viridiplantae; Streptophyta; Magnoliopsida; Poales; Poaceae.
AUGAGUUGCGCGGCGGUGUGUGCUCCCACCUCCGGUCUCGGCCGCCACCACGGCUUCCUCUCCUCCCCCUCGACUGUAUGCAGGCGACGAGGGAGAGCUUCCUACACUAUCCGGGCCUGUGCCAACUCCGGCGACGCGGAUGACAGCGGCGGAGGUCUCCUACCUCGGAUGGUGCUGCACGACUCCCUCGAUGCCGCGGGGGUCGUCACUGAUCACGCUAGGGCGGCGAGGGACGGGUUCGCGGUGCAGAUCGGGAGGCUCACGAGGCUCAACGCUGAGACCAGCAUCGCCAUCAGCCGCGGCGCCGAUCUCGCGCGGGCCGCGCUCUGUAUCGCGGCUGAGGACGACUCGCUCGUCUCCCACUCCUCUGUGCCGCUCCCCGUCGACGCCUUCAUUGCUCGCCUUGACGACCUUUCCACCGGGUUCCUCGCCGCGGGAUUCCUCCCGCCCUCCGGCGCGCCGCCCGAGGUCUUCUUCGACCACCUCGACCGCUACCUCUACGUCCACAAGGGCUUUCGAAGAACAAACGUAGCAUCAGAUGCUCGGGCUAUGUAUCUUCACUCGACUUUGACAUGCCGAUCAGGAUCAGCUCUAAUGCUUUCGUUGAUAUAUUCGGAGAUGCUAAAGACACUACGGUUAUAUGGCUUACUAGACUUCGAUGAGGAGAUCUACUUUCCACAUGAUCUCAAUGGCCGCCCUAGGGGCUAUGACAAACGAAGAAGCAAGUUUUGUGAUGAACCAAAUAUUAUGACAGCGAAGUCACUUUUGGUUGAGAUUUUACAAACUCUGAAGGGUAUGUUUUGGCCGUUCCAGUCUAAUCAGUCAAGUAGCUUAUUUUUGAAUGCUGUUGCUGCAAACCACCAUGGCCCUGGUAAUGUAGGCGGCAGUCAGGCAAGGUCACAUGGCAAUAUAAGUGCCAUAGAGAUGGCUGCUGCUAAAUCUGCUCAACAUAGGUUGAUGCGUGGAGUAUGGACUAAUGUGCGCUUUGGUGAUAUGCGUCGUGCUUUGGCAGCUUGCGAGAGAUUGAUCCUACUGAAUCACAAUCCCUGUGAGCUUAGGGACUAUGCUGCCCUUCUGUACCACUGUGGCUACUACAAAGAUUGCCUGCAGUACUUAACGUCGUACCAAAAUGCCAUGGUUGGGCAGCCCCGGACCAAUCCACUGGAGAUGUUGGAGGACGACGCAGUGAACACUCUCACGGCACGAGUAAACCUAAUUUUAGCAGAGGAUGGCUGGGACAGCCACAGACCUGCUGCAAGUUACUGGACCAAAAAUUCUGAGCCAUGGUAG